CCCAAAGGCAACAGGAAGACACAUCGCAAGUGCAAAGAAGCUACAGUGUAUAUCCAGUGGUAAAACUUUGCAUAAGAAAUUACAUAUGGGACAAUAGCAAGGUGAAUGGUUGGAAAAGGAGAUGGGCCAGUCCUAUGAUGAGAGGAAGAGUUAGACAACCUAAACGCUCCACUGGUAUCUACAAAACUUAAGAAAGAAAGAAAAAGAAAAAAGAAAAAAGGAGAAGAGAAGAAAAGAAAAGGAAAGAAAAACAACAAAGAAACUAGGUGGUGCUCCCAGAACUACAAAGAACAUUUGGCACGGGCUUCUAAAUGUGAGUUAUGCAUUAUGCUGCUUCAUUAUUGGAUAUGGGAAUACCUUAAUGGGUCAAGAUCAGAAGAAUUCUCAUUGGGAAAUGAAAGUAGUGCUUAGUGGUGAGUGGAUAUUGGUUAGUGGAGUCAGGAGGCCAAGUGGAUAUUGUGUCCUUGGUACUUUUGCUUCUGUAUCAUCUUUCUGGCAUAUUGAAAUGACUAGGUCAUAAAGACUGAUACAGCCUGAGCUGAGGCCUCUGUUUUCUUUAAUUUCUCAAUGCUCAGCACAUUAGUAUUUUGUUUACUACUUUAGGUCAUUUAGAAAGGAUCAUCAUCAUUUUAUGGAGAUAUUCAUUAUGGGUACUCCCUUCAAUAAUGAUUCAGAUGCAGCACUUCUAAGCCAUAGUCUAUGUGAUUUUUGUCCAUAUUUUUCUAAAAUUCAUGAGAGAACAUCUACACAAUAUGCUAGGAGCUUUGUUCUUGUUCUUUUGGUAGCUUGGAGGCACUAGUAUUCACUUUGGGUAGCCCAAAUCCCCCCCCCCCCCAACUCAAUCAAAUGCUUUAUUAGCAUCUACCAAAAACUGAAAGCAACACUAGUUCUUGAAUUUUCUACAUAGUUUAGUUGUGAAAAUGUAAAUGUAAAAUUGUUGCUACAGAGUGCUAUAUAUAUAGAAGACUGAGUCAGGAGAAC
Molecule: long non-coding RNA, 981 nt
Filed under: Monodelphis domestica (gray short-tailed opossum)
Lineage: Eukaryota; Metazoa; Chordata; Mammalia; Didelphimorphia; Didelphidae
Description: lncRNA (ENSMODG00000040215.1)
Source: RNAcentral